GAUGAACGCUGGCGGCGUGCCUAAUACAUGCAAGUCGAGCGAACAGACGAGGAGCUUGCUCCUCUGACGUUAGCGGCGGACGGGUGAGUAACACGUGGAUAACCUACUUAUAAGACUGGGAUAACUUCGGGAAACCGGAGCUAAUACCAGAUAACAUGUUGAACCGCAUGGUUCAACAGUGAGAGACGGUCUUGCUGUCACUUAUAGAUGGAUCCGCGCCGCAUUAGCUAGUUGGUAAGGUAACGGCUUACCAAGGCAACGAUGCGUAGCCGACCUGAGAGGGUGAUCGGCCACACUGGAACUGAGACACGGUCCAGACUCCUACGGGAGGCAGCAGUAGGGAAUCUUCCGCAAUGGGCGAAAGCCUGACGGAGCAACGCCGCGUGAGUGAUGAAGGUCUUCGGAUCGUAAAACUCUGUUAUUAGGGAAGAACAAAUGUGUAAGUAACUAUGCACGUCUUGACGGUACCUAAUCAGAAAGCCACGGCUAACUACGUGCCAGCCGCCGCAGUAA
This 513-nucleotide ribosomal RNA is filed under the name uncultured bacterium. Its description in RNAcentral is "partial 16S ribosomal RNA". It matches the Rfam family "Bacterial small subunit ribosomal RNA", at positions 28 to 523 of the family's 1533-position model. The record is from RNAcentral.